This 1575-nucleotide ribosomal RNA is filed under the name Triticum aestivum (bread wheat). Its description in RNAcentral is "partial small subunit ribosomal RNA". Lineage: Eukaryota; Viridiplantae; Streptophyta; Magnoliopsida; Poales; Poaceae. The record is from RNAcentral.
AGCGCCGAGUUGGCAGAGCGCGUGUGCGUCACGGCCAUCACCAAGUGCCUCAUGACAUAACUUAUCGCCAAUCUCCACGUCCACGAGGCCACGUCAGCCAGCAUGGUCACCAACUUUGAGGCGACUCUGAACCUGCUCGCCCUCGUCGGAGGCUUCCUGGCUGACGCAAAAAUGGGGCGCUAUAUCAUGACGGUCAUCUCAGGGAUAAUCACCGCGAUUGGCGUCGGGCUCCUCACGGUCGCGACGACCGCGCCGAGCUUACGGCCGCCGCCAUGCUCGGACCCGCACGGGUGCGCCACGGUGAGCGGCGGGCAGCUGCCGAUGAUCUACCUGGCGCUGUACAUUGUGGCGGCAGGGGCGGGCGGUCUGAAGGCGAAUGUGUCUGGCUUUGGCUCCGACCAGUUUGACGCCCGUAUUCCGCGGGAGCAGCAGGCCUUGAGGUUUUUCUUCAACCGUUUCUAUCUUUGCGUAAGCGUCGGAUCACUCUUCGCCGCCACGUUCCUUGUAUAUGUGCACGAUAAUCUAGGCCGCGGCUGGGCGUACGGAACACCGGCGGUCGUCACGCUGCUCAGCACUGCGGCGCUUGUGGCGCGCCGGCCGAGAUACCGGUACAAACUACCACAGGGCAGCCCGCUCCAGCUAAUCGCCACGGUGCUGUGGAGGGCGUGGAGGAACCGCAAGUUGCCACCACCUGCCAACGCAAACAAGCUCAACGGCUUCCACUCGGCCAACGUACCCUACACCGCAAGGCUCAGUGUUCAUUGAAAGGUGGGCAAUGGAGAGAGGGCACCACUAGUACGACAGCGUGUUCGCACGCAAGUGGCCAAUAGGCGCACUGAUGUCGAGGAGGUCAAAUCCGUAGUCAACCUCCUGCCCAUCUGGAUGACGUGCGCCCUCUUCUGGACCACGUAUUCCCAACUAAGCACCUACUCCGUCCUUGAAGCCACCUACAUGGAGAGGCACGUCCGGUCGGCCUCCACUUUCACGAUCCCCAUGGGGUCUUUCCCCUGCUUCCUCUUCCUCUCCAUCAUCAUAGUCACAUCGGUCAAUGAGCACCUUCUUGUGCCUCUGGCUAGCCGCCUGACGCACCGCCCGCAGGGACCGACAUCGCUCCAGCGCGUCGGCCUCGGCCUUGUCCUGGGCACUGUCGCCAUGGUUGUCGUGGCCCAAGCUGAGAAGAAGUGCCGCCAUGCUGCGAACGGGGACCCAUACACCAUCAUGAGUGCUUUCUUCGUGGUGCUGCAAUUCUUCCUGAUGGGCGCUGCGGAGGCGUUUUCCUAUGUGGGACAGCUCGAAUACUUUAUCCGCGAAUCAUCGGAGCGGAUGAAGUCUAUGAGCACGGGGUUGUUCCUGGCGACGGUGUCUGCGGGACUCUACUUCAGUAGCUUCCUGGUGUUUCUUGUUAAGCGCGUGACGCCGGAGUCGUGGUUAGGGAACAACCUAAAUGCAUGUGCCCUCCACAAGUUCUACUGUUUGCUGGCUAUCCUGGGCAUGCUGAACUUUUCGAUCUUUCUGGUUUUCGCGAGGAGCCACCAGUACAAGACCGAGACCGUGACCGAGGACGGCGCAACCUAA